UGAUGUGAGGACAAUCUUGCUGUGACAUUUCACCCCAGUGUUCACCAGGGUUAAUUUGGAUGGUAUGGCUGACUAGGCAGGUGUCCCCUUCCUCCCUCACUGAUCCAUGUGUGUCCUUGAUGAAACUGUACUCUAGGCCGGUUGAAGAAGGUGACCUUCUCUGAACAGAGAAGGACCAGUCUUCAGCCAAGGGUAUGUUAGUAGCAGAGCUACUCUGCUAGAACCUCCAAACAAGCUGUAAAUUCCGUUGUUCUUUUUAUUAUUGAUGAUGAUAUUCUUGUUUAUGGGUGUCAGAUCUCUAGCAGUCUAGCCACUCUAAAUGUAUAUUGGUAUUAUUACCUGUAAGUUUAUACAUUAAU
This 359-nucleotide small nuclear RNA is filed under the name Jaculus jaculus (lesser Egyptian jerboa). Its description in RNAcentral is "7SK RNA (ENSJJAG00000001689.1)". It matches the Rfam family "7SK RNA". From Rfam's summary of the family: 7SK was discovered as an abundant small nuclear RNA in the mid-70s but a possible function has only recently been suggested. Two independent studies have found that 7SK RNA binds the CDK9/cyclin T complex (known as elongation factor P-TEFb). Lineage: Eukaryota; Metazoa; Chordata; Mammalia; Rodentia; Dipodidae. The record is from RNAcentral.